GAUGAAGAACGCAGCGAAAUGCGAUAAGUAGUGUGAAUUGCAGAAUUCAGUGAAUCAUCGAAUCUUUGAACGCACAUUGCGCCCUUUGGUAUUCCUUAGGGCAUGCCUGUUCGAGCGUCAUUUAAACCUUCAAGCUAAGCUUGGUGUUGGGUGACUGUCCGCUUCACGGCGGACUCGCCUCAAAAUUAUUGGCGGCCGGUACAUUGGCUUCGAGCGCAGCAGAAACGUGAACUCGGGCCCGUCGUAUUGGCUCCCAGAAGCUAUCUUCACAAUUUUGACCUCGGAUCAGGUAGGGAUACCCGCUGAACUUAAGCAUAUCAAUAAGCGGAGGA
RNAcentral lists this unclassified non-coding RNA (332 nucleotides) under soil metagenome. RNAcentral describes it as "partial contains 5.8S ribosomal RNA, internal transcribed spacer 2, and large subunit ribosomal RNA". The stretch from base 1 to 120 matches the Rfam family "5.8S ribosomal RNA", at positions 35 to 154 of the family's 154-position model. The record is from RNAcentral.